UGGAAAUGUGCACUGUGACAAAUGCUACUUGCCCUGAACGUUUGCCACAAAUUCAUGGAGGAGCAUAGAAGCUGGCCUCCUGCCCGCCAACUAUCGGCCAUAUACAAAGACUCUGUUCUGGAGUUAAAUCUCCCCAACCACCAUUAGUAGCUUGCCCUGUGUGCCCCUGGUUCGGCACUUUCCCUUCAUGCGAAUGGAACUGAAAGCUGGCUCUCUGGAGGCCGUUUGCAUGAACCAAACCCACAAAUAGUCCCAGCGGUAUUUUGGCAUGAGAACUUUGUGGGUUUCCGGUCACCUCAGUCGGACUUAGCCACGAAUGUUAUGGAACUGUUUUAGGUAUUAGGUGACCGUGCAGUUCCUGGAAGACAUGGUUCACGGUUUUGAACCACUUUGAAAUCCGCCAGGAGAGUGCUAUUUGGAGGGGAGUGCAAGGAACAGAAGACUGCAAUGGUGGUGGAUGUGGCAAUACCCAGUGACUAUAACAUCAGGAAGGUCUUACAAACACAGAG
Non-coding RNA from Pelobates cultripes (western spadefoot toad), 509 nucleotides. The record is from the annotation of a GenBank genome assembly. NCBI's taxonomy places the organism in Eukaryota, Metazoa, Chordata, Amphibia, Anura, Pelobatidae.